RNAcentral lists this small RNA (442 nucleotides) under Pan troglodytes (chimpanzee). RNAcentral describes it as "retained intron". The record is from RNAcentral. Lineage: Eukaryota; Metazoa; Chordata; Mammalia; Primates; Hominidae.
CAGUGGGGUGACCGGUCUUCUGUUGUAUGUUUCUAGGAACGCCGAGGAGGCAGCCUUGACAUAAAUGAUGGGCAUUGUGGCACCGGCUUGGGCAGUGAAAUGAAUGCGGCCCUCAUGCAUCGGAGACACACAGACCCAGUGCAGCUCCAGGCGGCAGGGCGAGUGCGGUGGGCCCGGGCGCUGUAUGACUUUGAGGCCCUGGAGGAUGACGAGCUGGGGUUCCACAGCGGGGAGGUGGUGGAGGUCCUGGAUAGCUCCAACCCAUCCUGGUGGACCGGCCGCCUGCACAACAAGCUGGGCCUCUUCCCUGCCAACUAUGUGGCACCCAUGACCCGAUGAACUCUUCAGGGGACAGAAGCUUUUUGUCUGGAGCUGCCCACAAGAAAGAGGGCAAGGAAAAAAGGCUGGACUCCAUGACUAUAUAUACAUACAUCUAUCUACA